RNAcentral lists this ribosomal RNA (305 nucleotides) under uncultured bacterium. Its description in RNAcentral is "bacterial SSU rRNA". It matches the Rfam family "Bacterial small subunit ribosomal RNA", at positions 333 to 635 of the family's 1533-position model. The record is from RNAcentral.
GUAUGCCUACGGGGGGCAGCAGUGAGGAAUAUUGGUCAAUGGGCGCAAGCCUGAACCAGCCACGCCGCGUGAGGGAAGACGGUCCUAUGGAUUGUAAACCUCUUUUGUCGGGGAGCAAAGCGCGGUACGAGUGCCGUGAAGGAGAGUACCCGAAGAAAAAGCAUCGGCUAACUCCGUGCCAGCAGCCGCGGUAAUACGGAGGAUGCGAGCGUUAUCCGGAUUUAUUGGGUUUAAAGGGUGCGUAGGCGGACUGUUAAGUCAGCGGUAAAAGCCCGGGGCUCAACCCCGCCGAGCCGUUGAAACUG